Molecule: long non-coding RNA, 1188 nt
Organism: Apodemus sylvaticus (European woodmouse)
Lineage: Eukaryota; Metazoa; Chordata; Mammalia; Rodentia; Muridae
Exons: 3
Source: RefSeq, a predicted model, not a curated record
AGAUAACCCCACCAUUUGUCUGCCACGGGGUGGCAUGGAUACUGAGGUGAGGCUCCAGCCCUCACCACCUCAGCAGAGAGCUGCCCUCAGAGUCGUGAGCUUGGGAGAGCGGGCCCUGCCCCUCACCUAGAAGGCACACCAGAGCUGGCCCUGGUGGUACGGGUGCAGGUUAGAGAGGCAACUCUAGGGGAAGCUGAGGCAAUGCCUGGACUGGCUCUGCCUGGGUAUUUCCAUUGGAGGACUAGGAGCUGUGUUGUGAGAUUCUGGACCCUGCUUCCUUGUCAGAGGGGUGUUGCAAGGAUGGACAGUGGAUAUGGAGGAAUGGGGAGCAUAAUGUGAAAUUCACAAAAAAAAUCAAUAAAAAGUUGAAGAAGAAGUGGAGGAGGAAGGAGAAGGAAGGAAGAAGAGGAAGAGGAGGAAGAAGAGAAGGAAAACUAAUCCAGGAAAACACAAACAGUAUGAGUAAAUGAAUAAAUGCCUUAAAGUCAAGAAAACACAAACAAACCAUGGAAGGAAAUGAAUAAAACUGUACAACCCCUGAAAGUGGAAAUAGAAUCAAUGAAGAAAACAUAAACUGAUGGAGUCCUGGGAAUGAGAAAAUUAGGGUUAGAAUAGGAACUCCAGAAGCAAGCUUCACCAACACAGAACAUUCAGGAAACCUGAGACACUAUGAAAAGACUAACCUAAGGAUGAUAGGAAUAGAAGAGGAGGAAGAUUCCCAGUUCGAAGGACCAGAAAAUAUGUUCAAAAAUGUUAUAGAAGAAAAAACUUCCUGACCCAAAGAAAGAGAUGCCCAUAAAGAUACAAGGUGCAUACAGAACACCAAAUAAACUGGGUGAGAAAAGAAAGUCCUAUCAGUACACAACAAUCAAAACACUAAACAUACAGAACAAAGAAAAAAAUAUUAAAAGCCAUAAGAGGAAAAACCAAGUAACAAUAAGGCAGACCAAUUAGAAUUGCACCUGACUACUUAAAGGAUACUCUAAGAAUGGACCCAAGGAGUUGAAGGGGUUUGCAGUGCCACAGGAGGAACAACAAUAUGAGUCACCCAGUACUCCCAGAGCUCCCAGGGACAAAACCAUCAACCAAAGAGUACACAUGGAGUUACCCAUAGACACCAAAGGGAAGAGAGGCCCUUGGUCCUGGAAAGACUUGAUGCAGUAGUGUAGAGGAAUACUAGGACAGGAA